AAUAGAUACCCUGGUAGUCCACGCCGUAAACGAUGAGUGCUAAGUGUUAGAGGGUUUCCACCCUUUAGUGCUGCAGCUAACGCAUUAAGCACUCCGCCUGGGGAGUACGGCCGCAAGGCUGAAACUCAAAGGAAUUGACGGGGGCCCGCACAAGCGGUGGAGCAUGUGGUUUAAUUCGAAGCAACGCGAAGAACCUUACCAGGUCUUGACAUCCUCUGCCAACCCUAGAGAUAGGGCGUUCCCCUUCGGGGGACAGAGUGACAGGUGGUGCAUGGUUGUCGUCAGCUCGUGUCGUGAGAUGUUGGGUUAAGUCCCGCAACGAGCGCAACCCUUGAUCUUAGUUGCCAGCAUUCAGUUGGGCACUCUAAGGUGACUGCCGGUGACAAACCGGAGGAAGGUGGGGAUGACGUCAAAUCAUCAUGCCCCUUAUGACCUGGGCUACACACGUGCUACAAUGGAUGGUACAAAGAGCUGCGAACCCGCGAGGGUAAGCGAAUCUCAUAAAGCCAUUCUCAGUUCGGAUUGU
Molecule: ribosomal RNA, 526 nt
Filed under: uncultured bacterium
Lineage: Bacteria
Description: bacterial SSU rRNA
Rfam family: Bacterial small subunit ribosomal RNA
Source: RNAcentral